This 2184-nucleotide ribosomal RNA is filed under the name Triticum aestivum (bread wheat). RNAcentral's name for it is "partial small subunit ribosomal RNA". Lineage: Eukaryota; Viridiplantae; Streptophyta; Magnoliopsida; Poales; Poaceae. The record is from RNAcentral.
AUGGCCUCCGCCCCUGCUUUCAGCGCGCCGCCGCCGGCCUACCGCCACACGCGCCGCCGCCGGCCUCCCGCAAGACUCGCCGCCGCCGGCCCCCGCUUCCACCCGCCAUCAGCCACCUUAAAGGGCCACCCAGUCACCUUCACCGCCGCCACAAGCGACGCGCCUCCUCCCAUGGAUGCGGUCGCCGCCCUGCGCCUCCUGCUGGCGACGAGCCCAGUCCUCCUUCCUUCUUCCAGCGACGCGCCGUUCAACGCCACCACCACUGCCAGUUCAACGCUGCCCCGACAAAUCCUGUGCGUCAACCCCCUGGCUGACUUUGCUUCUCUCAACUUCAAAAAGAGGAAUAUUAGUACUGAAUUGUUUAUGUCAGUUCCAGCCGGCAAGUGGCCCUGCACAACAACAUGCAGCAGUUCGACAGGGGAGUGUGGGUCAGUACCACGCCGACAAGUCAGGCAGACGUCCUUUGCAUCACGAACUAGUGCAGUUCGAUCUUGCGCAAGCGGGAAAUUCCCUGAUGCCGAGUGUGUCAGUACCACCCUACACAGCAGCAAUCAUUGUCUUCUUGCAGCUUCCAUUGAACAAUUAAUCCAAGGAAUUUUGGGUGGAGCAACAUUUGUCGGUCUUAGGAAUCUCGAUCAUUAUUCACCACCAGCCAUGGUGAUGGUCAUUGCUGCUCUUUCCAUCGCAUGGGAGCCGAGAAAGUUCAAAGUUCAUGCUCCUUUGUUUUUUGUUAAGUCAGGCAGAGUCAGGUCUUGCUCGGGCAUCAUCUCGUCUCCCCAAGGACAUGGUGUUGAAGCUGUCGGGCGUGCAGAGGCAGGCGGUGCUGAAGCACGGGGGCUUGUUGCUGCCAAGGGGCCGAACGACGCCCCUGUACUAGAGCAGGUAGUACUGCCUGGGCAUGUCCACCUGCGACGUACCUGGCCACGGUGGCGGCACAACGGCGUCGAGCACGAGCUGCACGCAGCGCUUGCCCAUGCAACCCGCCGCCUGCUAGCCCCGCAUCCUGCCGGCGUUCAUGGUAAGCACCCGAGCCGCCUUGGCCGCCUACUCAUCCUCCACCUUGGCCACCUACUCAUCAUGUGCUGGUCAAUGGUACAGAUUGCCAUCAUGAUACUUGUAUUGGGGGCUAGAGCUCAUGUAUUACUCCCAGGUGUUUGCUUAAAUGCUUUCCAACAAAAAGCUCCAGAAAAGUUCAUAGUUUGUUUUCAGAAAAGCUCCAUGGCAUUUCCUCGGCUGCAGCAUAGCCAAAUCCCGGUGUGCCCAGCCGCUGCUCGUGAACCCCGCCUCCAUCAGCCCCACUUCAACGGAGCCAGCAAAGUCCUUCUGCAGGGCCCAAACCCACUAUCGUGCAAGAAAAAGAAAGCAAAGCCCCAACCAUCAGCUGCUCAAUCAUCAGCUCCAGACAUCAGUUGUAUUGAGACAUGGAUGGCUCUACACCUGAAGCACAUAUAUCUGACAAGCAUGAUCACAUGUUCCCUUCAGGGUCUGAUGGCCCAUGGAGAGGCGAAGCGAAAGACGGCUCACGACCAUCCUCUAACACCCCGUCAGUGCCACCGAUUUAAAGGAGCUCCUUUGAAAAAGAACCACCCUCGCGCCACCGCGGCGCCCAGGCCGUUCACUGCCGGCACCACAGUCCGUUCACCGGUGACACAGAGGCCGUUCAACGACGCAAUGGUGAGGUCUGGCCUUUCCCCUUCCUCUUUUUAUGUAGCCUCCGAGUCGAAGUUCACCUCCAUGUGCUACUCCACUCGUAGCUCCCAGCCUACCCUCGAGCAAGUUCGUGCCGUGCACGAGAUCAGUUCAACCUGUGCACUUGGUACAUUUUUCGACCUCGACGCUUGUGGCAGUCCCACAAGGACGAGUAUGGUCUACGAUCGAGCAGUUGGUUCCCAAGCGAGUUCUUGGCUGAAGGUGGGCUUCCACGAUGAGGUGUGGAACGCAAUGUACAUGGAGAUCCUGAUGGAGUACGAUGAUGGCGAUGUGGCGCAGGUGGACCUCAUGGAGUUUGGCUGGGCUGGCGGCGGUCGGCGGUGGACGCGGGUGCAUGAGUUGUGGGGCUCCAUCUGCCGCUCGACCACCACUUACUCCCACUCUGUUCACUGGUUUUGUUUUCAUUGUCACGCCUGUUCCUCGUCGACCUGCAGCAGGAGACACGAGAUCACCCCGGCACUGCUGGUCACAUGA